CGCGAAUGGCUCAUUACAACAGCUAUAAUUUACUUGAUCUUGACAAUCCUACUUGGAUAACUGUGGUAAUUCUAGAGCUAAUACGUGCACCAAAGCUCUGACCUUACGGGAAGAGUGCAUUUAUUAGAACAAAACCAAGCGGCUUCGGUCGUUUUUUGUUGACUCAGAAUAACUAAGCUGAUCGCAUGGUCUUGUACCGGCGACGUGUCUUUCAAGUAUCUGCCUUAUCAACUUUCGAUGGUAGUGUAUCUGACUACCAUGGUUGUGACGGGUAACGGAGGAUAAGGGUUCGACUCCGGAGAAGGGGCCUGAGAAAUGGCCACUACGUCUAAGGAUGGCAGCAGGCGCGCAAAUUACCCACUCUCAGAACGAGGAGGUAGUGACGAGAAAUAACGAGACCGUUCUCUACGAGGCCGGUCAUCGGAAUGGGUACAAUCUAAACCCUUUAACGAGUAUCUAUGAGAGGGCAAGUCUGGUGCCAGCAGCCGCGGUAAUUCCAGCU
Molecule: ribosomal RNA, 502 nt
Filed under: Aglenchus agricola
Lineage: Eukaryota; Metazoa; Nematoda; Chromadorea; Rhabditida; Tylenchidae
Description: SSU rRNA
Rfam family: Eukaryotic small subunit ribosomal RNA
Source: RNAcentral